GACGAACGCUGGCGGCGUGCUUAACACAUGCAAGUCGUACGGUAAGGCCCUUUCGGGGGUACACGAGUGGCGAACGGGUGAGUAACACGUGAGUAACCUGCCCACAACUUUGGGAUAACGCUAGGAAACUGGUGCUAAUACUGGAUAUGUGCUCCUGCUGCAUGGUGGGGGUUGGAAAGCUCCGGCGGUUGUGGAUGGACUCGCGGCCUAUCAGCUUGUUGGUGGGGUAGUGGCCUACCAAGGCGGCGACGGGUAGCCGGCCUGAGGGGGUGACCGGCCACAUUGGGACUGAGAUACGGCCCAGACUCCUACGGGAGGCAGCAGUGGGGAAUAUUGCACAAUGGGCGCAAGCCUGAUGCAGCAACGCCGCGUGCGGGAUGACGGCCUUCGGGUUGUAAACCGCUUUCAGCAGGGAAGAAGCUUUUUGUGACGGUACCUGCAGAAGAAGCACCGGCUAACUACGUG
Molecule: ribosomal RNA, 465 nt
Filed under: uncultured bacterium
Lineage: Bacteria
Description: partial 16S ribosomal RNA
Rfam family: Bacterial small subunit ribosomal RNA
Source: RNAcentral